AGAGCGGCAAAUUACCGCGCCGCCGCCGGGCCUCUGGGGAACGUUGGUCCGGGUCCACAACACCUGUGCAGAUCCCGACCGGAUACGGAGAAUCGAGCCGCCUUCCUCUCCACGUGCAGACGAGUUGUCUGCACAAUCUGAGAGUGUGUUGUGGCUCUGUCCCGCAUUGCCGAGUCUGCCCACACAGCACUGGCGAACGGAAACUCGGACACUCGCUUCUCCCGAGGUGUGGCCAGCUGUAGUCUCUGCCCAGCUAUAGUACAAGCAUCUCUUACGAUUGGGACCUCACGGACCUUCGGACCUUAAAGGACCAGACGAUUAAUACACAGCAGGUCAGCAUGGCCUUGGCACCUGGAAAGCAUCUCUUAUCAUCACAUCGAAGGUGUCCCAGGAAGAGGGGCAUUUAAUCUUUAUUUUUAACAUGGGCAUUUUUUACUUCUGGUCAGUGUACCCUGUCCUUUAAAUAAUUAAAGCAUAUGUACAACGUG
Odocoileus virginianus texanus is the source of this 488-nucleotide long non-coding RNA. RefSeq lists it as uncharacterized. The record is from RefSeq and is a predicted model, not a curated record. Lineage: Eukaryota; Metazoa; Chordata; Mammalia; Artiodactyla; Cervidae.